CUCAUUAUGGCCCACUCAACUCCCAAAAGUCACGCCCAUGUGUAUCCAAUAAGCAUUAAGGACCUCAAGCGGGCAUCCCAGGAGCAAGUGAGGGAGCCCUCAUGGAAUUUGUGCCCUCCUAAGAAGAGGAAGCGAGAGAUUUCUCUCUCGCUCUGUGGACACAGCAAGAAAGCGCUGUCUGCAAGCUAGGAAGCGUGGUCUCACCAGAAGCCAGCCCUCAUGGCAUCCUGAUUUUGGACUUCCAACCUCCAGAACUGGAUGUGCAGAGGCAGAAUCUGUUCUUUGUCCACACACCGUCGGAGCAAUGCCCAACACAAAGCUGGCCAUCAAUCCUUUCUCGUUGAAGAGGCAAAUGAGGUGAACAAGCAAAUGAGCAGGAACCUGUAGCAACAUCAGCAUUUAAUUCAAGGGAGUCAUUGCAGAUACUCGGAUCACCAGAGACAAGAGGCCAACAUUUCCUGAAACAAGAGCCACACGAAGACGAAGCGGGUACGGCACAGGCUGCGUGGGGUCGCCACCACUUCCAAGCACCCCCACCCUUCUGGAAGGCCAAUGUGUUCUACUCCAGGAAACAGACCAUGUUGUAGUGGCCCCAAAGGACCACCCAAGUCAGACUGUGGCUGAGCAAAGUUGGCCUGGGAAAUCCUGGAUUGGAGAGUUCAUUGGAGAACCAAUGUUCUCGUUCUUUGAGGACACCAAUGGGGAGAGGAGCACCUUGUACAAACGAAGGCACCAAUGGGGAGAGGAGCACCUUGUACAAACGAAGGCAGCUGGAGGGAUUUCUUCUUACCUAUAGAGGCCGAGAGGUAAGAGAUAUGCAUCUUUUGCACAAAGAUAUACGGUUGUCAGGUCAUUUACUAUCUGCCUCACUCACACUUGUGACUCUCCGGGGCAGAGAUGGAGUCUUAUGUAAACACAUAAAAACAUAGCAGGUGUUCCGCAAACAUUUAUGAAUCAGAGAAUGGUGGACAGCAAGGAAAAGGGAAACAGAGGAAAUUGA
Felis catus (domestic cat) is the source of this 1000-nucleotide long non-coding RNA. RefSeq lists it as uncharacterized. NCBI's taxonomy places the organism in Eukaryota, Metazoa, Chordata, Mammalia, Carnivora, Felidae. The transcript has 4 exons. The record is from RefSeq and is a predicted model, not a curated record.